Non-coding RNA from Glomus cerebriforme, 74 nucleotides. NCBI's taxonomy places the organism in Eukaryota, Fungi, Glomeromycota, Glomeromycetes, Glomerales, Glomeraceae. The record is from the annotation of a GenBank genome assembly.
GGGUCCGUAGUCUCAGUUGGUAGAGUGCCCGAUUUGCANUCAGGAGGUCGUCGGUUCGAGCCCGACCGGAUCCA